UCUGAGCUGUGGAUACCCUUCACGGUGAGCUCAGAAAUGCUGGCUCUUUUUACUCUUGAGCCUUCAAUCUGAGCUCCCUGAAGGGUGUUCCCACACACAGA
RNAcentral lists this microRNA precursor (101 nucleotides) under Callithrix jacchus (white-tufted-ear marmoset). Its description in RNAcentral is "microRNA cja-mir-9925 precursor". Lineage: Eukaryota; Metazoa; Chordata; Mammalia; Primates; Cebidae. The record is from miRBase by way of RNAcentral.